This 122-nucleotide ribosomal RNA is filed under the name Kwoniella heveanensis. Lineage: Eukaryota; Fungi; Basidiomycota; Tremellomycetes; Tremellales; Cryptococcaceae. The record is from RNAcentral.
AUCUUCGGCCAUAGAACACAUAAAGCACCGCAUCCCGUCCGCUCUGCGCAGUUUAACAUGUGUAUCGCUCGGUUAGUACCAGGGUGGGGGACCACCUGGGAAUCCCGGGUGCUGAAGUUUUU